UAUGAGAGCUUUUUGUUUAUCAUUCCGGACCCUAUCCGUUGAUUUUCUGAUUUUGUGAUGUCUUCUACGAAGUAGUUGAGAGGGUCGGUCGUGCCGUUGGUGCUUUGAAGUAAACCAGGAGAAUACAAAGAUGCCCCCGAAGACCAAUAAGGCAUUGUGGGCCAUUGAAACCUUGGCCUCUGACCUUCUCCUCCUUUUCUCGUUCAGUUGCUCAACUGGCCUCUUCUUACGUGGCCAAGCGUCAAAUGCAUGACUCUAAAAUACACCGAGAAAUAGAAUCUCCCCGAAAGUCUGCAGAUAAUGGAUAUUUGAAGCAUACACCGGAAGAGAAGAGUGAACAGUCUGUUUCUUCUGAUGAAGAAGGGCUUGAAUAUGUAAAUUUACUGGAGUUCGACCUAUACAUGUGAAGGGAGUGGUUCAAACAGAUUUUGCAUUCUUUGAUCCAAAACCCAACGCCUUUACGGAGUGAAGACCUUGCUGCAAACCUACCUUGAUACUAAGUAAUGGGAUUUGAGUGGUUUUGUUGACUUGAUAUUGGGACAGACCACGGUGGGGACUGUAGUUAAAAUAGAGGGGGAUGAAGAUGAUGGAGUUUUUGCUCUUGUGACUGUGCUAAACUUGCAAAGAUAUUAGGCAAGCAACAAAUACCUCUAAAUCCUAACAGUAUUUGCUGCCACAUCUUUCUCCCUAUUUUUUCUUGUUUGGCUUAUGUAGUUCUUCAAUGCCUGACCCUACUGUAUAGUCUCCUGGCAUCUUUUCUUCUAUGUGGUAUCUAUUUACAACGGUCAACAUGUUGUCAAAAACUUUCUGCCAUACUAAAGUGGUAGGAGUGGGCUGCCAUAUAGCUAGAUGUUUUGUCUGUUCAGUUUACUGCUGUUUUAGGAAUGGCAAUCUGCGGGUUUCAGAUGGGUUGACACAAAAUUGAAUCCAACUGAUAUUAAGAAAUGAUAGAAAUUUUGAGGAGCUGAAAACAUUCUUUUUCAA
Juglans regia (Persian walnut) is the source of this 984-nucleotide long non-coding RNA. RefSeq lists it as uncharacterized. The transcript is spliced from 4 exons. NCBI's taxonomy places the organism in Eukaryota, Viridiplantae, Streptophyta, Magnoliopsida, Fagales, Juglandaceae. The record is from RefSeq and is a predicted model, not a curated record.